This 534-nucleotide ribosomal RNA is filed under the name Xylariales sp. RNAcentral's name for it is "eukaryotic LSU rRNA". It matches the Rfam family "Eukaryotic large subunit ribosomal RNA", at positions 39 to 580 of the family's 3401-position model. Lineage: Eukaryota; Fungi; Ascomycota; Sordariomycetes; Xylariales. The record is from RNAcentral.
CAUAUCAAUAAGCGGAGGAAAAGAAACCAACAGGGAUUGCCCUAGUAACGGCGAGUGAAGCGGCAAAAGCUCAAAUUUGAAAUCUGGCCCUAGCGGUCCGAGUUGUAAUUUGCAGAGGAUGCUUUUGGUGCGGUGCCUUCCGAGUUCCCUGGAACGGGACGCCAUAGAGGGUGAGAGCCCCGUACGGUUGGAUACCUAGCCUCUAUAUAGCUCCUUCGACGAGUCGAGUAGUUUGGGAAUGCUGCUCUAAAUGGGAGGUAAAUUUCUUCUAAAGCUAAAUACCGGCCAGAGACCGAUAGCGCACAAGUAGAGUGAUCGAAAGAUGAAAAGCACUUUGAAAAGAGGGUUAAAUAGCACGUGAAAUUGUUGAAAGGGAAGCGUUUGCGACCAGACCUUCUCCAGGGGGAUCAACCGCUGUUCUCAGCGGUGCACUACCCCUCUGGUUUAGGCCAGCAUCGGUUCUACUUAGGGGGAUAAAGGCCUGGGGAACGUAGCUACUUUAGGGAGUGUUAUAGCCCCUAGCGUAAUACCCUU